UACCCGAAUGGGGAAACCCAGUGUGACUCGUCACACUAUCAUUAACUGAAUCCAUAGGUUAAUGAGGCGAACCGGGGGAACUGAAACAUCUAAGUACCCCGAGGAAAAGAAAUCAACCGAGAUUCCCCCAGUAGCGGCGAGCGAACGGGGAGGAGCCCAGAGCCUGAAUCAGCAUGUGUGUUAGUGGAAGCGUCUGGAAAGGCGCGCGAUACAGGGUGACAGCCCCGUACACAAAAGCGCAUGUGCUGUGAGCUCGAUGAGUAGGGCGGGACACGUGGUAUCCUGUCUGAAUAUGGGGGGACCAUCCUCCAAGGCUAAAUACUCCUGACUGACCGAUAGUGAACCAGUACCGUGAGGGAAAGGCGAAAAGAACCCCGGCGAGGGGAGUGAAAAAGAACCUGAAACCGU
This 408-nucleotide ribosomal RNA is filed under the name Salmonella enterica subsp. enterica serovar Heidelberg. Its description in RNAcentral is "partial 23S ribosomal RNA". It matches the Rfam family "Bacterial large subunit ribosomal RNA", at positions 111 to 559 of the family's 2925-position model. RNAcentral also lists the same sequence under 4 other names. Lineage: Bacteria; Pseudomonadati; Pseudomonadota; Gammaproteobacteria; Enterobacterales; Enterobacteriaceae. The record is from RNAcentral.